GUUAAAUCACUGCCCAUAUGCUGGACACUGGAGGUCACAAAAUCUCCUAAAACUUUUGGCAACAAGAAACCUAGAGUUUUUUUGGUAUUGCGGGGGAGGCAUAAAAGAACUAAUCUAUGUCUCCUCAUUUAAGGAAUACAUCUACUGAAGCAGUCUACUCCUGCCACCAAAGUAUAAAAGCUGGACAAACAACAUAACGGAAAUCAUUUGAAGGCAUUUGAAAGUGACCACCAUUCAUAGUUCUUUAAGGGUUAUAAACCCUGAGAGAUAAAAGGAAUCAGUAG
This 284-nucleotide long non-coding RNA is filed under the name Gorilla gorilla gorilla (western lowland gorilla). RNAcentral's name for it is "lncRNA (ENSGGOG00000044248.1)". The record is from RNAcentral. Lineage: Eukaryota; Metazoa; Chordata; Mammalia; Primates; Hominidae.